CCCCGGCGCCACGAGUGGUCAUCACGAUUAUUGGGCCUAAAGCGUUCGUAGCCGGUCUGGUAAAUCUCUUGUGAAAUUGUUCGGCUUAACCGGACAGCGUGCAGGAGACACUGCUAGGCUCGAGACCGGGAGGCGUUAGAAGUAUUCCAUGGGGACUGGUAAAAUGGGAUAAUCCAUGGAAGACUACCGAUGGCGAAGGCAUCUAACGAGAACGGAUCUGACGGUGAGGAACGAAAGCCAGGGGA
Molecule: ribosomal RNA, 245 nt
Filed under: uncultured archaeon
Lineage: Archaea
Description: partial 16S ribosomal RNA
Rfam family: Archaeal small subunit ribosomal RNA
Source: RNAcentral